Molecule: ribosomal RNA, 440 nt
Filed under: uncultured bacterium
Lineage: Bacteria
Description: partial 16S ribosomal RNA
Rfam family: Bacterial small subunit ribosomal RNA
Source: RNAcentral
CCUACGGGUGGCAGCAGUAGGGAAUAUUGCUCAAUGGGGGAAACCCUGAAGCAGCAACGCCGCGUGGAGGAUGACGGUUUUCGGAUUGUAAACUCCUUUUGUUAGAGAAGAUAAUGACGGUAUCCAACGAAUAAACACCGGCUAACUCCGUGCCAGCAGCCGCGGUAAUACGGAGGGUGCAAGCGUUAAUCGGAAUCACUGGGCGUAAAGAGCGCGUAGGCGGGAUAGCAAGUCAGAGGUGAAAUCCCAUGGCGUAACCAUAGAACUGCAUUUGAAAAUGUUAUUCUAGAGAAUGGGAGAGGUAGGUGGAAUUCUUGGUGUAGCGGUAAAAUCCGUAGAGAUCAAGCGGAAUACUCAUUGCGAAGGCGACCUGCUAGAACAUAACUGACGCUGAGGCGCGAAAGCGUGGGGAGCAAACAGGAUUAGAUACCCGUGUAGUC